UCUGCAGAGAGAAUGCUAUACGAGGUGG
RNAcentral lists this small RNA (28 nucleotides) under Bombyx mori (domestic silkworm). RNAcentral describes it as "piRNA piR-bmo-2187870". Lineage: Eukaryota; Metazoa; Arthropoda; Insecta; Lepidoptera; Bombycidae. The record is from RNAcentral.